GGAGGGUGCAAGCGUUAUCCGGAUUCACUGGGUUUAAAGGGUGCGUAGGUGGGUCUGUAAGUCAGUGGUGAAAUCUCCGAGCUUAACUUGGAAACUGCCAUUGAUACUAUAGAUCUUGAAUAUUGUGGAGGUCAGCGGAAUAUGUCAUGUAGCGGUGAAAUGCUUAGAUAUGACAUAGAACACCAAUUGCGAAGGCAGCUGGCUACACAUAUAUUGACACUGAGGCACGAAAGCGUGGGGAUCAAACAGGAUUAGAUACCCUGGUAGUCCACGCCCUAAACUAUGGAUACUCGACAUUUGCGAUACACUGCAAGUGUCUGAGCGAAAGCAUUAAGUAUCCCACCUGGGAAGUACGAUCGCAAGAUUG
Molecule: ribosomal RNA, 367 nt
Filed under: uncultured bacterium
Lineage: Bacteria
Description: bacterial SSU rRNA
Rfam family: Bacterial small subunit ribosomal RNA
Source: RNAcentral